UUUUUUUUUUUUUUUUUUUUUUUUUUUUAUGAUAGUCACACAGAGAGAGAGAGGCAGAGACACAGGCAGAGGGAGAAGCAGGCUCCAUGCACCAGGAGCCCGAUGUGGGACUCGAUCCCGGGUCUCCAGGAUCGCGCCCUGGGCCAAAGGCAGGCGCCAAACCGCUGCGCCACCCAGGGAUCCCAAAAUUUUUUAAAGUUUAAAAAAAAAUAAAUCAUUUGAGGUCCUGAUGGGGUGCGGGGUCCAUGGCUAUAUAUUGAGUGUGUGAAAAUUCACAGAGCUAAACACUUAAGCUAUGCUCCUCUUCCUGGUAUACACACUAAGUAAUACUUCAAUAAAGGUUUUGUUGAACGGCAUCUCUGUCAUGUCUCCCAGACCCCUACCCCUUCACAAAACAUGAGGUCCAAGCUUCUUAACAGCUUGGGGUCCCAUACCACCCCAUUCCCACAUAUUCCUUUAUUCCUCCUCCCAGGCCAGCGAGCACUAAGCCUGCAGGACACGAUGCCCUUCCAGACCGCCAGGCCUGGCCCCAGGUGUGUGGCCACCCUGACCGGAGCCACGGUACAUGUGGCCGCUGACCCUGGACCCUAUCACUACCUCCACGUGUGGCUGCAGAUCCUGGACCCCGUCACUGCCCCUCACGCGGCGCUGACCCUGGACGCUGUCACUACUGCUCAUGUGGCCGCUGACCCUGGACCCUGUCACUGCCCUUCACAGGGCCGCUGACCCAGGAGACCCCGUCACUGCCACUCAGUGGCCGCUGACCCUGGAGACCCUGUCACUGCUCCUCACGGGGCCGCUGACCCUUGAACCCGUCACUGCCCCUCACGGGGCUGCUGACCCCUGACCCCAUCACUGCCCUUCACGUGGCUCUGACCCUGGACCCCGUCACUGCCCCUCACGGGCCGCUGACCCUGGACCCCGUCACUGCCCCUCACAGGCCGCUGACCCUGGACCCCGUCACUGCCCCACACGUGGCUCUGACCCUGGACGCCGUCACUGCCCCUCACGUGGCCGCAGAUCCUGGACGCCGUCACUGGCCCUCACGUGGCGCUGACUCUGGACCCCGUCACUGCCCCUCACGGGCCGCUGACCCUGUCACCACCCUACGUGCGGGUGCUGGCCCUGGAGCCGCGCCCGUGCCCACAUAGGCCUGGCAAGCGGCAGACAAGGUUCCCAAACAUGGCGGGAAGAACGGGGAUUCCGUGCGUUCCUUACAUCCAUCGCUGUGCUGAAACGACAGUGUUGCGGAUACUGUGGCUUAAAAGUGAAACGCGUCAGUAGAAGUAACGUCACCUGUUCUUUCCGCCGCAGCCUGCAGACCUUCCCAGACUCCCGCCGGGCGCGCCGGCCACAGCACCCCGCCGCAGGGCGAGCCCCAGGGCCGGCGGCCGCAGGAGGAAGCGGGCGAGCGCCUCCCC
RNAcentral lists this long non-coding RNA (1421 nucleotides) under Canis lupus familiaris (dog). RNAcentral's name for it is "lncRNA (ENSCAFG00000054440.1)". Lineage: Eukaryota; Metazoa; Chordata; Mammalia; Carnivora; Canidae. The record is from RNAcentral.